AUUGAACGCUGGCGGCAGGCCUAACACAUGCAAGUCGAGCGGAGCGGCGGACGGGUGAGUAAUGCCUAGGAAUCUGCCUGGUAGUGGGGGAUAACGUCCGGAAACGGGCGCUAAUACCGCAUACUAUCAGAUGAGCCUAGGUCGGAUUAGCUAGUUGGUGGGGUAAAGGCCUACCAAGGCGACGAUCCGUAACUGGUAUGAGAGGAUGAUCAGUCACACUGGAACGGAGAAACGGUCCAGACUCCUACGUGAGGCAGCAGUGGGGAAGAAUGGACAAUGGGCGUAAGCCUGACAGAGCCAUGCCGCUUGUGUGAAGAAGGUCUUCGGAUUGUAAUGCACUUUAAGUUGGGAGGCGUUACCAACAGAAUAAGCACCGGCUAACUUCGUGCCAGCCGCCGCGGUAAUUC
RNAcentral lists this ribosomal RNA (407 nucleotides) under uncultured bacterium. Its description in RNAcentral is "partial 16S ribosomal RNA". It matches the Rfam family "Bacterial small subunit ribosomal RNA", at positions 30 to 526 of the family's 1533-position model. The record is from RNAcentral.